RNAcentral lists this ribosomal RNA (252 nucleotides) under uncultured bacterium. RNAcentral describes it as "partial 16S ribosomal RNA". It matches the Rfam family "Bacterial small subunit ribosomal RNA", at positions 524 to 776 of the family's 1533-position model. The record is from RNAcentral.
UACGUAGGGGGCUAGCGUUAUCCGGAAUUACUGGGCGUAAAGGGUGCGUAGGUGGUUUCUUAAGUCAGAGGUGAAAGGCUACGGCUCAACCGUAGUAAGCCUUUGAAACUGGGAAACUUGAGUGCAGGAGAGGAGAGUGGAAUUCCUAGUGUAGCGGUGAAAUGCGUAGUUAUUAGGAGGAACACCAGUUGCGAAGGCGGCUCUCUGGACUGUAACUGACACUGAGGCACGAAAGCGUGGGGAGCAAACAGG